Molecule: non-coding RNA, 1012 nt
Organism: Cyanistes caeruleus (blue tit)
Lineage: Eukaryota; Metazoa; Chordata; Aves; Passeriformes; Paridae
Source: RefSeq, a predicted model, not a curated record
CUUCUUGGGCUCACAGGGCACAUCCCCCGAGGCAGAGCAAUGGAAUUCACACUGCCCGGGCUUUAAAGCCACACCUCUCAAUUUAAAAAGCUUAUCUGAAACUAAAUCUUUGUCUCCCUGGGCCGGGGCACCUCACAAAAGUAUUUUAUGAGAUCAGCUAGAAUAUUAUCCAUUCCAGCAUCUUAUGACUGAUGUAAUAAAAGAUAGCUUGCUAUUACAAAUCUGUAGAUUUAGGUAUUUUUCCAUAUUUUUUUUUUUUUUCAUCAGCCUCUGUCAUUCAACAUGUGUAAUGAACCCUUUCUCUCUGAGCAGUGAUGACUCCCAUGGAUUUCAGUGAAAACUGUUUAUGUCCAACACCUGUGAAAAGCCCUUCUGUCCCAGGCUGAUCACAUGGAAGCCCAGAGCUCAUUCUCCUCAGUUUGGGAGGAAUCAUGGCAUUCCUAUUUCCUAUUCUAUUGGAAAGCUUCCGUCUCAGCGGAAUUUCACACAUCAUCCCACCUCCCCACCCCCUAUGAUACCCUCAAGUUAUUAAUCUGCUUUUCUCAUAUGGAGAAUGGGAACAGUAAUUUCCCAGCUAAUCUAGUGAAAGAUGAACUCAGUGGGUUAACAAGGAUCCCCUGGCAGAGCACAGUGUGCUGUGUGUGAGCUGAAAGAGGAAACAUACGGGUGUGGAGUGAUUACAGAAAACGCAACCUGAGUGCUCUGGGGAAGGUGGGACUGCCAAGGACAGGAGAAAGAUGUCAAUGACCUGAGGAGGGCUGCUGGGCCUGGCUCGUGGAUGUAAAAGCCAGCUUAGGUUUUGAAUGAAAGUGUUGUGGAAUCAGAAGAAGACUGACCUUUUGUAGAACUAAAAAUAUGUGUGUGCAACACUGAAUAAUUUAAAAAAGGGCCAGCUGAAAUGCCUUCCUUCCCUAUAUAUGUGUGUAUAACCAAGAAAUAAAUUUUUUUUUUCUUGCAAAGGUGCAUAAUUUCACUGUGUUUUCUAAGUUGCUUCUGUUUACACAUUCAGCAC